AUCAUGGGGCAAUUUGUUCUCAUUUUUCCAGAAUUUGUGUACCGUUGAUAUAUUAUUUUUUUAUGCAACAAAAGCAAUGAAUAGAUGAGAAAAUCUAAGUAAUUGACCCAGUGGCCACUUGCAGGAUUAACAAUACCCUGUGAUGUUCUGAUCAGUGCCCACGCAGACGGAGGACCUUACCCAACUGUCUGGAUGACCUCAUGUUGCCUGGCAACCGCCUGCUUGACAGCAGUUGCUAGGAAACCAGGAACAGAGCCAGGACUCCUGACUAAUACCCAGCGUCCAUACUGCCUGUCUCUUCCCCUCAGAUUUUCCCUGAUAGGGUCAUGCUCCUAUUGAGGCAUUCCUCUUCCUCUCCAGCUCUCCUCCUCCUGCCUCCCUACCUGCCUGGGGCUUACCUGCCAGCAGCACUCAAUGGGCUCCACAAUCAUAGAGCCCACAUGAUCACGGGUUCCAUAGGACCCUCUUCCUUCCCCUAUUCCAGGAUUAGGGCCUAGGCUAGAGUGUGUGCAUGCCUGAAAUCUUAAGUCUGUAGUUACCUCAUCAUUGAGACAAGUGGCAGCCUCUCAGUGGCUCUAGGGCUGGCAAACCCUUCUCCCGCUGGGGAGUGAUUCUCUCAGGAAAGGCACUGAGAUCAGCCCACGCUCCCACCACCCCAGCAGAGUGCCUGACCCAAGGAAAGCAUUAAAUCCAUGACCCUUGAUUGAAUUCUUUGGCCGGGCAUCACACGGACCUCUCCCUGUUCUAAGUAGUUCACUUUAAAGAGAAAGAAAAAUUCCUCUAGAGUGGAUCCACCGGAACACAGUAAUCCUGGAGAACCCCUAAUCUUUCACCAUUCUUGAGAAUGAUCCAUGCUACCCUGCACUUCUCAUUCCCACCACCUCCAACGCAUUGCUCUACCUCCAUCCUGAAGAAGUCACCUUCCACCUCUACCUGAUCCCCAGUGAGUGCUCCACUUGGAAGGAGGUCCAGAAAGGCUGGGCCAAGGUGAGCUGAUGGCAACCAUGACAUGCAGCCAGAGGGGCCUCUAGAUUUCUUCGGUCCUUGUCACUAGAAUAUAAAGUUGCUUGAGGGCAGAGACACUGUAGCUUCUGGUACCACCAGCACCUAGGACAGCCUCAGGCGCAAUGAAACCUUUCUUAGGGUCUUAGGGUCUCCAAGACCUGCCCCACUUAUCCGCUGGCUGCCACGGGAACGGCUCCCGAUUUGCCAAUACAUUUCCAGAGCUUCCGGCUGCGACAGGCUGGCGGGGAGGGGAGUGAUGGUGGGGGAGAUCCGGGCAGGGGCCGACGCACUGUCUCUGAGCCCCUCCUCGCGCGCCCCAUCACGGCCCCUCUUCCUUUCCGGGCGCCCCCGAGCGUCCCGCGCGCCCGGCCCCUGCGCUCAUGGAUGAAGCGCGGCUGCGCGGGGUCCGCCUGAGCUUAGUCCGCAGAGGACCGGAGCAGGCCUCGCGCGUCGCCCGCGAGAAAGCUCGGCUGGACGCGCGCUCCUGGGAGGCCUCCCGUAGGAGGACGCGGCCGGGGCUGCUCUGAGAGGUCGCGGGAGGGCGCGGGGGCCUG
Molecule: long non-coding RNA, 1559 nt
Organism: Equus asinus (donkey)
Lineage: Eukaryota; Metazoa; Chordata; Mammalia; Perissodactyla; Equidae
Source: Ensembl